UACAGAGGUCCCAAGCGUUGUUCGGAAUUACUGGGCGUAAAGGGCGCGUAGGCGGCCCGCUAAGUCGAACGUGAAAUCCCCGAGCUCAACUCGGGAACUGCGUCCGAUACUGGUGGGCUUGAAUCCGGGAGAGGGAUGCGGAAUUCCAGGUGUAGCGGUGAAAUGCGUAGAUAUCUGGAGGAACACCGGUGGCGAAGGCGGCAUCCUGGACCGGCAUUGACGCUGAGGCGCGAAAGCUAGGGGAGCAAACGGG
This 253-nucleotide ribosomal RNA is filed under the name uncultured bacterium. Its description in RNAcentral is "partial 16S ribosomal RNA". It matches the Rfam family "Bacterial small subunit ribosomal RNA", at positions 524 to 776 of the family's 1533-position model. The record is from RNAcentral.